RNAcentral lists this long non-coding RNA (202 nucleotides) under Mytilus galloprovincialis (Mediterranean mussel). The record is from RNAcentral. Lineage: Eukaryota; Metazoa; Mollusca; Bivalvia; Mytilida; Mytilidae.
UAUUGGUAUCGGAUUCGACCCGGAACUUGUUAAUUAUUGGCAAUAUUAAUUACAUGGAAAACAAAAGGGUCUGGAAUGGUGUAAUUUUUAAUCUACACCACUGUCCUAUAUUAGCUAUGUAUAAAGUUGAACUCUUUGAUUCAUCGUUUUUACGUGAUAACGGCUGACAAAUUGGACCUCGUAAUUUUAGUAUUAUAGAUAU